Octodon degus (degu) is the source of this 144-nucleotide long non-coding RNA. RefSeq lists it as uncharacterized. The record is from RefSeq and is a predicted model, not a curated record. NCBI's taxonomy places the organism in Eukaryota, Metazoa, Chordata, Mammalia, Rodentia, Octodontidae. The transcript has 3 exons.
AAGGAGUCCUGCAUCCAUGACUGAGGAGGAUGCAGCUCCUAACAGUCUGAGUGUGGCGAAAAAGCAGCACAAUGAAGUCCAUGAAAAGGAACAGGCAUCUCUGGUGCUCAGGUAAUGAUCAGUGGGGUUCUGCAUUAUUGUGAG